RNAcentral lists this long non-coding RNA (275 nucleotides) under Mytilus galloprovincialis (Mediterranean mussel). Lineage: Eukaryota; Metazoa; Mollusca; Bivalvia; Mytilida; Mytilidae. The record is from RNAcentral.
CCAACGUGUAAGUUUUCAUUGUUUAAGUCGAAAUUUUUUAACACAGUAAAACAUUUUUUAUAAUCAUCCUCUGUCAUUGGCAUUUUCAUUUUAACGGUUGUGGCACGGUUUGAAAUGUUGAAGACAAAAUUGCUCUAUAUCUUAAGUUAUUGACGAAUAUUUGAAAUGUAAACCUCUAUAAGAUGUGAUGUACGGCAUUUCAUUUUAUCAUUGGUAAUGAUCCAUAUCUGACAGAGAAGAAAUAUUCAUAAUUCUCAGAAAGUUUUCAUAAAUAU